This 1351-nucleotide ribosomal RNA is filed under the name Escherichia coli. Its description in RNAcentral is "bacterial SSU rRNA". It matches the Rfam family "Bacterial small subunit ribosomal RNA", at positions 80 to 1426 of the family's 1533-position model. The record is from RNAcentral. Lineage: Bacteria; Pseudomonadati; Pseudomonadota; Gammaproteobacteria; Enterobacterales; Enterobacteriaceae.
CUGAUUCGCUGACGAGUGGCGGACGGGUGAGUAAUGUCUGGGAAACUGCCUGAUGGAGGGGGAUAACUACUGGAAACGGUAGCUAAUACCGCAUAACGUCGCAAGACCAAAGAGGGGGACCUUCGGGCCUCUUGCCAUCGGAUGUGCCCAGAUGGGAUUAGCUUGUUGGUGGGGUAACGGCUCACCAAGGCGACGAUCCCUAGCUGGUCUGAGAGGAUGACCAGCCACACUGGAACUGAGACACGGUCCAGACUCCUACGGGAGGCAGCAGUGGGGAAUAUUGCACAAUGGGCGCAAGCCUGAUGCAGCCAUGCCGCGUGUAUGAAGAAGGCCUUCGGGUUGUAAAGUACUUUCAGCGGGGAGGAAGGGAGUAAAGUUAAUACCUUUGCUCAUUGACGUUACCCGCAGAAGAAGCACCGGGCUAACUCCGUGCCAGCAGCCGCGGUAAUACGGAGGGUGCAAGCGUUUAAUCGGAAUUACUGGGCGUAAAGCGCACGCAGGCGGUUUGUUAAGUCAGAUGUGAAAUCCCCGGGCUCAACCUGGGAACUGCAUCUGAUACUGGCAAGCUUGAGUCUCGUAGAGGGGGGUAGAAUUCCAGGUGUAGCGGUGAAAUGCGUAGAGAUCUGGAGGAAUACCGGUGGCGAAGGCGGCCCCCUGGACGAAGACUGACGCUCAGGUGCGAAAGCGUGGGGAGCAAACAGGAUUAGAUACCCUGGUAGUCCACGCCGUAAACGAUGUCGACUUGGAGGUUGUGCCCUUGAGGCGUGGCUUCCGGAGCUAACGCGUUAAGUCGACCGCCUGGGGAGUACGGCCGCAAGGUUAAAACUCAAAUGAAUUGACGGGGGCCCGCACAAGCGGUGGAGCAUGUGGUUUAAUUCGAUGCAACGCGAAGAACCUUACCUGGUCUUGACAUCCACGGAAGUUUUCAGAGAUGAGAAUGUGCCUUCGGGAACCGUGAGACAGGUGCUGCAUGGCUGUCGUCAGCUCGUGUUGUGAAAUGUUGGGUUAAGUCCCGCAACGAGCGCAACCCUUAUCCUUUGUUGCCAGCGGUCCGGCCGGGAACUCAAAGGAGACUGCCAGUGAUAAACUGGAGGAAGGUGGGGAUGACGUCAAGUCAUCAUGGCCCUUACGACCAGGGCUACACACGUGCUACAAUGGCGCAUACAAAGAGAAGCGACCUCGCGAGAGCAAGCGGACCUCAUAAAGUGCGUCGUAGUCCGGAUUGGAGUCUGCAACUCGACUCCAUGAAGUCGGAAUCGCUAGUAAUCGUGGAUCAGAAUGCCACGGUGAAUACGUUCCCGGGCCUUGUACACACCGCCCGUCACACCAUGGGAGUGGGUUGCAAAAGAAG